UUAAAAAUGUCUCAAGCUUUUGUACAAAUUUUUUUGUUAACAUGCUUUACAGCAUGUAUAAUAAACUCGGUUUAUUCACAAGAAUGUACCGAGGACAUUUGUAAUAAUUGCCCGCAAUUUAGGUGCAUAAGUGGGUCAAUUUUGGUCCCUAAUACACUUUGUGGCUGUUGUCCAAGCUGUGUUCUUCCACAGGCUGGAGAUUCCUGCUACGAGUCAGCUGAUGGCAGCUCACUAACCUGCGGAUCAAGCCUUGAAUGCUGCGAGGAUGAAGUGUGUAAUACGACCUGCUAAUUUAUAUAAAAUACAUGUGUUAAUCUAAUAAAGAUGUAUGUAAAAAUA
Molecule: long non-coding RNA, 339 nt
Organism: Anthonomus grandis grandis
Lineage: Eukaryota; Metazoa; Arthropoda; Insecta; Coleoptera; Curculionidae
Exons: 2
Source: RefSeq, a predicted model, not a curated record